CGCGGGCUCGGGAGUAUGAACACUGUUCUGGGUCUGUACAAUUCAUAGCAAUCAAAGGUUAAAUAGAAUAUUUCGGAUUUUCUCUAUACAUCUUUUUUUUUAUUUUCAAAAAAAUAUAUAUAUUCGUAUUUGCGCUCAUCUUACGCUCGUUGAGUCUCUGGAAAACAAAUCCCACCGACUUGGCCUUCUCGAAGAUUUUCGUGGUUGCCCCCCUCCCGGAAAUAAUUCGAGAUAACAUCUCACUAACUUUGCAUCCGGUAACAUUGUACCUUUCCCCCCCGAAACACCAAAAUAACACGAAAUGAUUUAGAACGUCGACAAAUAAUCCAUUCGACGUCGGUUGACAUCAAUGCAUUAAAAUAACCAUGUAUUAGCCACAUGACAGUCAGGGCAGAUUGUAAUCCGGGUAAAACGCGUAUGUUUCGCCCCGUGAAUCCCCCCUAGUUAUCGAUUCCUGCACCUCAAAAACGCUGCUAUUCACAGAACUGUGUGUUACUCAUCCCUGAACAUUCCGAAGACGGAACUAGCUCACAGCAGACGAAAAACUGAUGAUACAGGAAUGUGGGGGAGAAAACAAGAAAAACGAAUAGAAUAACCCAAAUCUAUGUUCGUCACAGGACAAAUUUAAAUCUGGCACGUUUUAAAUGUGUUAAAACCGCUGUUAUGCCAAGUAUCAGGCCAUGCGCCAUUAUUUUCAUUUCUCUGCUGUAACCACGAAUUGCGGACAGGCAAGUGGAACUUUACUAUAGCGAGAAAUUAAACUCGUCUUGUGGCUGAUUUCUGUGUCAGCUGACAUGACGACUGUGCGAACCCUUCGGUUCAGGCUACACAAAACAUUUCAGGUGCUUCAUCCCUAGCUCAGAAGUGAGCCAUGACUUUGUCUUUGCAGUGGUGAUGUCAAACUUGUGUUUCCCUUACAGUCCUAUUUCCUGGCAACGUAUCUUAAAAUUCAUAAGUUUAACAACAAAUACGACGUACGUAUUAUCGUACCAAGACGCACACGAGAGCUGUUCAAUGAAGACUGAAAAUUUUAUUUUUUGUCCAAGUCUUGGGGAACUUUCAUUUGGGGUGAUUGGUAGCACUGAUAGAUGUGAAUCAGCGCCUGAAGUUUCAGGUCGCUGCGUGUUCAGUUGUGCUCGUGCCGUGACCUUGACUACAAGCUACGCGUGUCUCGUCUCCGCGCUUACAUUUUCUCACCGCUUUAAUAAGUGAAACAUACAAUUUGUCAAAAGUGGCUUGUGGGCUAAGAUGAGGUUCAAAGAUGGUCGGGAAUCCUUCGAAAAGCGGCAAGGUCGACGAAGUACCAUCGCAGAGUUGUCUGAUAUGCUCAAAAUAUCUGUAGGGAGUGUACAAACUGUCACAAAGGAUAAUUGGAUCAUGUCUCGUAUCUGUGCUAGAAGGAUUCGUCGUCGACUAUCUGGCAACAAGCAAAAUACCCUAACUUAAAAACUAAGGACACGCAAACUCAUGUUUCCACGAACUUGUAACAACAGAACAUCCAAGCGCUUGGUUGAAAUCUCCAAAGUCCCAAACCGGAAUAUACAACGAAGCCAAAUCGCCUCUCUCUCCUCGCAGGCAAGUCGCUAGGGAAGACAACUAAUGUCAACGUGCAGAUCCAAGUUUCUAAUUUCGACCUCCUACGUGUGCAAUUUUUAAAUUAUGUUGUAUUCGUACAAAUACUCGAUAAAAUCGUGACCUUUUGUAUUAUUCAGAUGCAUCUUUAAAAAAACUCCCGUGCGUAUUCAGCUCACACCAAGCGAAAAGAAAUGUAAGAAUGUAACUGUUUUCUAGCAGCUGUUUUUAAGGGGCUUGUAAUUUCGAUGAACAUCAAAAUAGUUGAUUUAUAUAACGGGAACUCGGAGAGGGGAUGGAAAGAUUUAAAAAUGAAAAUCCACGACCUCCAAAGUCAUUACAACGUCGCCCGACUAGAAAUCAAACACCAAUCGUCCGCCUGAUCUAUCGAUUACAACGUUAAGUGCACCUACUUUUUAUAAGACUUAUAAACCAGAACUUAAAGAAAGUGGAAAAAAAAUAAUAUCCUGUCGUACAAAGAAACAGGAGAGAGUCGACAUCUGGGGUUCACUGCCAAACUGCAAAACCUGAGCCACAUGGGAGGAGUCAGUCGGGGUCAUCCUCCAAGGAGCACGUAACUUGCCGCUGCAUUUCAAACGUAAAAGAGAGGAUCUCCCGGAACCAACCGUGCGGAUGUGCAUCUGGAAUAAUAACAUGGAACCCACAACGGGUGUCCCAAAAACAUGUAUACACAACGCUGACGAAUAUAAUUGAUGUGGCUAAUACACA
Molecule: non-coding RNA, 2301 nt
Organism: Zootermopsis nevadensis
Lineage: Eukaryota; Metazoa; Arthropoda; Insecta; Blattodea; Termopsidae
Source: RefSeq, a predicted model, not a curated record